UACAGAGGGUGCGAGCGUUAAUCGGAAUUACUGGGCGUAAAGCGUGCGUAGACGGUUAUUUAAGUCGGGUGUGAAAGCCCCGGGCUCAACCUGGGAAUUGCAUUCGAGACUGAAUAGCUAGGGUACGGUAGAGGGAAGUGGAAUUUCCGGUGUAGCGGUGAAAUGCGUAGAUAUCGGAAGGAACAUCAGUGGCGAAGGCGGAUCUCUGGGCCGAUACUGACGCUGAGGAGCGAAAGCGUGGGGAGCGAACAGG
This 253-nucleotide ribosomal RNA is filed under the name uncultured bacterium. RNAcentral describes it as "partial 16S ribosomal RNA". It matches the Rfam family "Bacterial small subunit ribosomal RNA", at positions 524 to 776 of the family's 1533-position model. The record is from RNAcentral.